RNAcentral lists this ribosomal RNA (500 nucleotides) under uncultured bacterium. Its description in RNAcentral is "partial 16S ribosomal RNA". It matches the Rfam family "Bacterial small subunit ribosomal RNA", at positions 30 to 523 of the family's 1533-position model. The record is from RNAcentral.
AUUGAACGCUGGCGGCAUGCCUUACACAUGCAAGUCGAACGGCAGCACGGGAGCAAUCCUGGUGGCGAGUGGCGAACGGGUGAGUAAUGUAUCGGAACGUGCCCAGUCGUGGGGGAUAACGUAGCGAAAGCUACGCUAAUACCGCAUACGAUCUAUGGAUGAAAGCGGGGGAUCGCAAGACCUCGCGCGAUUGGAGCGGCCGAUAUCAGAUUAGGUAGUUGGUGGGGUAAAGGCCCACCAAGCCUGCGAUCCGUAGCUGGUCUGAGAGGACGACCAGCCACACUGGAACUGAGACACGGUCCAGACUCCUACGGGAGGCAGCAGUGGGGAAUGUUGGACAAUGGGCGCAAGCCUGAUCCAGCAAUGCCGCGUGCAGGAUGAAGGCCUUCGGGUUGUAAACUGCUUUUGUACGGAACGAAACGGCUUUUUCUAAUACAGAGAGCUAAUGACGGUACCGUAAGAAUAAGCACCGGCUAACUACGUGCCAGCCGCCGCCGUAA